Molecule: ribosomal RNA, 250 nt
Filed under: uncultured bacterium
Lineage: Bacteria
Description: partial 16S ribosomal RNA
Rfam family: Bacterial small subunit ribosomal RNA
Source: RNAcentral
UACGUAGGGGGCAAGCGUUAUCCGGAAUUAUUGGGCGUAAAGAGUGCGUAGGCGGUUUUAUAAGCGUGAGGUGAAAGGCAAUGGCUCAACCAUUGUAAGCCUUGCGAACUGUAAGGCUUGAGUGCAGGAGAGGAAAGCGGAAUUCCUAGUGUAGCGGUGAAAUGCGUAGAUAUUAGGAGGAACACCAGUGGCGAAGGCGGCUUUCUGGACUGUAACUGACGCUGAGGCACGAAAGCGUGGGGAGCGAACA